GUCUAGAUGACAGUGCACGAACCAUACACCAGGAUUAUUGGCUCUGAAUCUGAUGACUGCCCAGCCUCCUACAGGGACUCCAAUGGUGUUACGUACUUGUGGGUUGACAAGAUUGAACUUUUUAGGGUCGUUUACAUGAUCAUAGUUUCCAAAUCCUUGAGCCAAUACAUGGAAAUUGAAACCAUGAAUGUGAAUGGGAUGAUUUUCCACACCGAUCAAGGCCGUGUUCUGUAACACAAUCUGCACCGUCGAAUUGUACUUCAAUACCUUUACACUAGUUGAUUUGGGUGUAAAGAGCAACGAUGUGUCGUUGCUGAUAUUGGAGUUUG
Molecule: unclassified non-coding RNA, 329 nt
Filed under: Hevea brasiliensis (rubber tree)
Lineage: Eukaryota; Viridiplantae; Streptophyta; Magnoliopsida; Malpighiales; Euphorbiaceae
Source: RNAcentral